RNAcentral lists this long non-coding RNA (3222 nucleotides) under Sarcophilus harrisii (Tasmanian devil). RNAcentral's name for it is "lncRNA (ENSSHAG00000025158.1)". The record is from RNAcentral. Lineage: Eukaryota; Metazoa; Chordata; Mammalia; Dasyuromorphia; Dasyuridae.
GCUUAAGUAAAAAAGAAGGAAAAUAAAAAAGGAUGGGGGCUUAGCAUUCCCAAACCUAAAAGUAUAAUAUAAGCAGCAGUUCUCAAAACCAUUUGCUCUUAGCUAACAGAGUGGUGGAUCAGAGGAAUAGAUUCCAGUGAUCAAGGCCUAUAGUUAUGUAGUAUUUGACAAAGCCCCAAACUCCAGCUUCUGGUAUAAAAACUCGCUAUUUGAUAAUAAAUCUCAGGGAAAAGUGGAAAAUCACUCAGAAACUCGGCUUCGACCCAUGGGGUGUGCAUCUCACACCCCAUGCCAAAAUCUGGUCACAAUGGAAAAGAUCUCCACUGAAACCAGAAGUGGUUUGAGAGCCCUGCCCUGGGGCCUCUGAGAAAAGUCUCGGGGGAGGGGUGGUCCUCAGCACCAUCAGGCUUUCCUUGGGUACAUAUAUUGUCCAGGCUGACAAACCGGCCUAAGGAUUGCUGCCAGCUUGUGUCCAGGGAGGACGCAGGUUGGACACAGGGAGUGGAGGCUGUUCUUUCCCGAGGGAGCAGCUUGUUGCACGUCAAAGAGAACUGGAUGCUGGCUUGCCUGUGGGAGUGGAACUUGGCCAGAGGGAGUUGAAAGCCCCCAGAGGGGGGAAAGAUGAUGUGCCCUCUCCUCAUUUAGCAUGGGGCUGUCCCUGGGAACUCUGAAAAGGUGUCUAAGAGUCAGGGAGCUUGGAGAGCAGGGCUGUCAUGCCUAAGGCUUUCCCCACAGCUGGGUCUGGGGAAAUUGUGGUCCUAUGGCUACUUUGUGCACCUUCUUCAAAAUGUCUGGAGCAGCUGAAUAAUCACACACAUGUUGAGGACAGGAAUCCUAUCAAGAAAAGGGGGGUUCAGACUUGGCCCCACUCUUCUGUGGCAGAAGCCUCUCCCCACAGGCCAAGGUUUCCCCAGCCAACGAGUUUUGCCCUUAUGGGAAAAGGGUCCCCCAAACUCCAGGGCAAACAGUCCAACUGAAUGUGAUCACUGUACAGAGAUGGCUCCCGUGAAAACCACAAGCCAGUGCCCACAGGCCUCUGCGCUCCUCUUCUCCAGGCCAUCUCCCAGCAUUUCCCCUCAUAACUUGAGGGAAUAGAUAGAUGUUGGCUAUGCCAAAGAGCAUUUACCUCCCCUGCAAGGCCAGGCCAAAAGGGGAGCCACCCCUGCCCUCUCUAUCUCCCCUUACCCAAUUUGGAGCCCCUGCCUGCCAUAGGCUUUAGAGAGUACACCACAGCCCCAGGCCCAAGAGGCUCUCGACCUUCUCCCACAGCCCUUAGACUAAUUACCAAAUUUAGCCUCUGAAUUAUCUCAUAUUAGUAAUAGCAGUAUCCACAAGUAUUGGGAGUGCAACAAAUGACCAGCAGAAGAUAAUGUCAAAGAUUGCCAAAAAAGGUAUGUUUUCUGAGGCAUGGAAGUAGAUGGGCCAAGUGCAAGCAGGCUGAGCACAGACACCAGUGCAGGCAGCACAGCCAAGGCAGUGUGGACCCCGAGCUGUGAAGAAUUUACAGGGAGGAGUCUACAGAAGUAGUGUUGGAUAGUCUGCCCUGGCUGCAAGCCCAGUACUUCAGCAGAAAAUUAGGAAAAAAAUUCCUCACCAAAAGUAAAUAGUUAACCUGCAAAUGCCAGAAUCUCAGGGGACAUGGCCACGCCCACCCAGCACCCAGCAGUCAGAAAAUACUGAUCCCAUGCAGCUGCUGCUACUUUCAGAUGAACUUUGGACAACCUCCCUUACCACUAAAACAGAUCUCAACUUUUAAAAAAAUGAAUAAAAAAGCAGUAAGAACUCUGAUUGUAAAUAGUUUUUAUAGUAAAAGAGAACCAUUUUUAAACCCUGAGACUAAACACAGAUCAUCUCCAGAUGAAGCCCAAAAGGUGGCAUAAAUUGGCCCCAUCACACAAGACUCUCCUAGAAGAAAUUAUAAAAGAUCUUAAAAGACAGAAAAGAAAAAUGGGGAAAGGAAAUGAAAACUUUGCCAAGAGGUUUUGGAAAUGGCAACACAAAAUAGUCUUAAGUGAAAUGGACAAAGCAUAUAACUAAUUAAAAGAGUUAUUUGACAAAAUAGAAAAAGGAAACAACUCCCUGAAAAAUUUGUGAAACAAAUUUGUGAAAUAGAAAAACAAAACUUCUUAACAGAAUUUAUGAAAUGGAAAAAAAUUCCAUAGAACAAAACUCAUUCAAAAAUUCAAUUGGAUAAAUGCAAAUAAGUAAAAGUAAAUGAAAAAAAAAUCACUAAAAUAAGAACUGAACAAAUGGAAAUGAAUGACUCAAUGAGACCAAUGAGUCAAGCAAAAUCAAAAAAGAAAAAAUAGGAAAAAAUGUAAAAUACCUAAUUGGGAAAACUGACCUGAAAAAUAGACCUAAAAGAGGCACUAAAAGGGACUUCCCUGAAAACCAUGAUGAAAAGAGCCUAGACACUAUUUUUCAAGAAAUCAUCAAAGAGAACUGCAUGGAUGUUAUUUAAAUCAGAAGAUAAAAUAGCCAUUGAAUGAAUUCAUCAAACAUCUCCUGAGACCCCAAAAUGAAAACUCUUAAGAAAUCUUGUGGCUAAAUUUUAGAAUUAUCGGAACAAGAAAAAAAUUACAAGCAGCCAGAAAAACACAAUUCAAAUACCAAAGAGCCACAAUAAGUAUUAUCCAGGACUUGGCACAGCUUUUACCUUAAAGGAUUAAAGAGUCUGGAAUCUGAUAUUCUGAAAGGCAAAGGAACUUGGAAUGCAACAAAGAAUAAAUUACCCUGCUAAACUGAGCAUUUUCUUUCAGGGAAGAAGAUGGACAUUCAGUGAAAGAGGCGAAUUCCAUUUAUUACUAAUGAAAAGACCAGAGCUAAACAAAAAAUUUGACCUCCAAAUACAGAACUCAAGAGAAGCAUAAAAAGGUAAAAACACUUGAGAACUAUAUUUCUGUUAAUGGGUAUACAUAGAGAGUGCAUGUACAAUUUGAUUUUACUGUUACAAUAUAAAAAACAAAAGGUAGAAAGGGAUUGUACUGGAAAAGGGGGAAGUGGAGGUAAAAUGAGGGAAAUUACAUCUCAGGAAGAGGCAAAGAAAGCUUGUUAUAAUUGAGGGAAAGGAGUGGGAUAAACAUUGUGUGAAUGUUACUCUCAUCAGAUUUGGCCCAAAGAGAAAAUAUUAAACAAAUUUGAUUACCGAGAAACUUCUCACACCUUAUAGAAAAGUGGGAGGGGAAAGACAAAAAGGGAAGGGAUAGGCUAAAUAGAAGGGGA